This is a long non-coding RNA of Betta splendens (Siamese fighting fish), 4134 nucleotides long. RefSeq lists it as uncharacterized. The record is from RefSeq and is a predicted model, not a curated record. The transcript has 6 exons. Lineage: Eukaryota; Metazoa; Chordata; Actinopteri; Anabantiformes; Osphronemidae.
CCAUUCUCUAAAUUCAGUUAAACAGAAUUAUGGACAAAUUAGAUAGAGUAUUUAUUGUGUUUAAUAAUUCAAUAUAUACAAAAAUACAACAAGCCCAGUAAAGAGGUGGUUGGAUGGUUGAGUUUAAAAUUUAAAUUGCGAUAACUGACCAUCACUCACAGUAGCCAAGUCAUAUGUCAAGCAAAUAUGUAUUCGCAAAAGGAGUUUGUAAAUUGAAUAAAAUGACAGGCCGCUCUCUAAUUUGUUAUAGCAAGAGCCAAACCUCCGAGCAAACGCUGCAUUCCUCCGCCAUUACAUUGUAAGCGAUCUUCGGAGAGUGGCCGCGCGGCUACAGGGCCGCUUCACCCUCUGCCUGACCCCCGCGCGAUCUAAGUUUACAAAGCUGUGUCGAAACGCGAACCCCCCCCCCCCCCCGGACUCACUCGGCAGAAUUAACUUCAAUUGCGCAGCGGGAUCGUGGAGAGGGGGAAACACACGCUCCUGAUUUGCGCUGCGCACAAGCAGGCAGGACAUUUCAGAUUAGCGGGCUGUUUAGUAACAGGUACAGUAUGAGAGGGCCACGGGGGAACGCGCACAAAGGGAAGACGGGGGAAUAAAGAAGCUACUGACAUAUUUGAUGUUGUGGGUCUUGUCCAGUGGGGUUAAAGGCGUGUCUGGGCCGACAAUGCUGCUCUAAUUUAAACUAUCCGCUCCUAAAGGUUACCCGGCUCCCUGGGGCCACGCGGACCUGCUUCCUCUUCUUCCCUCUUAAUUAAAUUUCUGUCUCAUCCUCCUGCCUGGAAGUGCUGGGGUCACCAUGUGUAGCUCCUACCUAGCCAAACAACGGUGCCUUCAUGGCGUGGGCCAGUCUGUCUCACCCCCCGAUUGCUCCCAUUUGUGAUUUGUGCAGGCUAUUUUCACAUUACAAGUUUCUGCGCUCGGCCGUGGUCAGGGCCUGGUCUGCAUGAAGUGAGAUUUAAAUGUUUUUUUUUUUUUUGUUUGACAGUCACAAAGCUCGGUAUAAAGAUAUGACACGUGAUAACAAAAAUAGACACAAAAUGGCCACAAAGAGAUAAAAAAUGGUGUUCUACUGACCACACAGUUUAAAUGGUCAACAAGAAACACAUGAUAGGGAAAAAAAUACAUAAAUGACCAAACAAUGACCAAACACAAAAUGAAAAACACAAACAAACCACACACUAAUACACAAGGAAAGUGUAGAGGCAGUAAUGUUGUAUAGUUGUAUUGUAAGUUAUAAUGUAACUUCAUAAUUCACUUGCUGUAAACAAGCAAAUAAAGACAUUUAAAUUUUUCUUUAAACUUUGAUUAUAAAGCAUUCGAAAAGAAAAAUGUGCAAAUAUAUAUAUAUAUAUAUAUAUGCAAGUUAUAUAUAUUAUACUCAUUCUUAACGUCACUGGGGGAAUGCUGGUGGAGGCUCUGGAGUGUGGCCUUUAGUUGGAAACUGUAGAUCUGCUGCCACCUGCUGGAAAAGCAGCUCAAAGCAUUUACUAACUAAAACCUCCACUCUCUGUCUGUCUGUCUGUCUGUCUGUCUGUCUGUCUGUCUGUCUGUCUGUCUGUCUAUCUAUCUAUCUAUCUAUCUAUCUAUCUAUCUAUCUAUCUAUCUAUCUAUCUAUCUAUCUAUCUAUCUAUCUAUCUAUCUAGUCUAGUCUAGAAUUCACUAUGAUUGUGUUCACUAAUAAGAAAAUGUCAAUUUCAGGUAAAUGUUCAAUAAGAGAAAACAAAUGCUAAUUUAAAAUAAUAAUAAUUUAAACACUCGGAGAAGAAAAAACGUCCUUUUGAAGCAGAAGCGUUAUAAAAGGACCAUAUAGAACGACACGGUGAAACAGCGCCCCCUGGAGAACAGCGGCUGCUUUACGUCACUUAAGGUGUGUUGACAGAACGAUGCAGACUUGAAAAUCGGAAAUAACGCCACGUUUGUAUUGUAGGUACUAACUGAACUAACUGCGAAAUUAAGUUUUCCGGAAAACAAACAUAAACAAUAUGACGCAGCGCUGCUCUAUUACGUCAUGAAAACUUUCAUUGCUAGCUUAACAGAAUGCCUGUUUUUACGGAGCUAACGUCAGGAUUCAGCGAUAAAGAGGAGCCACCGUCAACAGCUGUGAGGCUGUGGUCUUCCUCACUGCUGCUGCCACCACGUCGCUGGCUGUCAUCGUCGUCCUCCGCGCUGCGAGUAAAGCUGACCUCAAUGUAGACAUGGGGCACGUUAUGCGUAUCCCUCCAUUUUCCAGUGAGUGGGUGUGAAGAUAUCCACGUCCAGGAGGAGUACAGGAGGUCUGGAGGAGGAAAAAAAAAAGGGGGGACGACUGCUUAUUGGUCCAGUAGUGAACAGAGCUGGAUGUUAGUCCACAUAACCUUCAAAGCCCAAUAAGGAUUUUGCUCAUCCAUCAUCCAUCCACCCACCCGCGCCGUCUGCAUCCGUCUGCCCUUCCGUCCAUCCACCCAGCCGUCAGUCUGCAGUAAGGAUCCUCUCCCAAACCGACUCCCGCGUCAGCAUUCAUCAAAUCAUCCAGGAACGACUCAACAGUCCCACUAAGGCGGUGCAUUAGAGAGUGAGGUGCGAUGUGAAAUGCAGCUUCCAUCUAAUUUCCCACAGUUGAAAAAAAAGCAGCCACUAUGAAAUGGAGAUGGAAAAUCGCAUAUCAAAGCUCAGGCAGGGAGUGAGUUGAAAAUAAGAUACAGGGGGACGUUAAAUGACAUAAUACAUCAGAAGGCUAAUAAUACAUUAUUGCUCUGGAUUAAAUAUGUAUCUCCUUGAUGUUAUACGUAUCUCACUUUUAUCUCUCGCCGUAGUGUUCACAUAGUGUAUUUCAUAUGCAAGCCACAUGUAUAACCCACAGUGUGACACAGAGCAGGCUGCCGUACUGUAAGUAAAGAGCUUUUUAUUCCAAGGAGCACUUUGGGCGACUGGGAGUGGAGCUGCGGAAACUGUGUACUGCUGAUUUCAGUGGUUUUCUCCUUUUAACUCCGGUUAAAGGGGUUUUCUACUCUUCUGUGGGCCGAGACAUUUCUACACCACAAAAAAUUGUUAUUAUUUAAACUAUAAACAUGAGAUUUGCCACCAACAGCACUGUGAUUUGGACAUAUUUUCAGUUUACUAAAUUAUUGUAACCUCACGACCAUCAGCAGUUUUUUUUUAUAAGCCAAAAUUCCCUUAGACAGAUAAGUCUGAAAUACUUUUAGAAGCACCUUUUUUUGCACCGCUGGCACUCAUACAGUACUUUGAAUCUAAGGCUACUACUGGUUCGCUUACUUUGGAUUACCUUCAACUAUACUGUAGAAGCAAAGAACCACCACAUCAUCUGUGUAAGUUUUAAUUAUGAGGUGUAUAAUCAUAAACUGGGCCAAAUAGAGAUUAUAAUACAGGUGAAUGUGGAAUAGCACAGCUGUAGUUUGGCGUUUUUUUGGUACAGAAGAAUUUAUGAAUUGCUAAAGUCAAAAAACAAAACAGCUUAUUAAAGCCAGGGGCCUGAUGUGUGAGCUUUUUUUUUUAUUCAUAUUUUUCUUUGUAUAAAAAAGUUGUUUUUCAAAAGUGUUUUAGAAUCACCAUACCUGCAUUAAACAUUGCAUCAGUGGCCAGUUUUAUUCUUCUUCUAUGUUUUUCUAUGUAUUAGUUCUGUUUUCUAGGAACUAGGCUACAAUAUUAUUAUUUUAUACGCUUGUAGAUGUGUAAUAUUAUGGAGGACCUUUUUGCUAGAAAAAAAUAUAUAUUCACAAACUCUCCCGGGCAACGCUGUCCAGGGUGUUUCUCGCUUCUUGCCCAGUGACAGCUAUAGGGCAGGCUGAACAGGAUGGAUGGACAUAAACGGGCAUUAAGACGGUCCAGACUGCCUCCUGUGACUUUAAUGGUUUUAAUCCACCAGUGGCCCUGUCAACCGAUCAUUUGUAACAUUUUCUGACCAUCAAUUAUCUUUUUGCUGAGGAAAGGUAGACACAGAGUCAAUAGGUCUAUUAGGGUUAAAACACUACCCUUCAAAUCCAUGUUAAGGUAGAAACACUAAGUUGAGUCCAGAGAAGAAAUAUCCCGUGAUUACUCAUCGGUCAUGAUGGAUGACUCACAGAGAGGCAGGACGGAGCAAAGCUGUCAUCAAAAGCUGACUGAAGAAUGGAAAAUAUAAUAUAAAACAUUUUCCAG